UAAAAUAUAAAUAUUUUAUAAAAUAAAAUUUGCAAGUUUUAAUAUAUAUUACUUUUAAAAAAUAAAUCGUCCCGCGGUAUACCGCGGAUUAAAAUCUAGUAACAUCUAGUU
RNAcentral lists this small RNA (111 nucleotides) under Arabidopsis thaliana (thale cress). RNAcentral describes it as "ATSL028850". Lineage: Eukaryota; Viridiplantae; Streptophyta; Magnoliopsida; Brassicales; Brassicaceae. The record is from RNAcentral.